RNAcentral lists this transfer RNA (84 nucleotides) under Paractinoplanes durhamensis. RNAcentral describes it as "Actinoplanes durhamensis tRNA-Arg". The record is from RNAcentral. Lineage: Bacteria; Bacillati; Actinomycetota; Actinomycetes; Micromonosporales; Micromonosporaceae.
UCGCCGGGUGGCAGGUUGAUGCCGGCCUCGCGCAGGCCGUCGAGCACCAGGGCGCGGCGCCGGGCGUACUCGGCGCGGGCGUGC